CCUACGGGUGUCAGCAGUGGGGAAUAUUGGGCAAUGGGCGCAAGCCUGACCCAGCAACGCCGCGUGAAUGAAGAAGGCUUUCGGGUUGUAAACUUCUUUUUUCAGGGACGAAGCAAUUUACGGUACCUGAGGAAUAAGCCACGGCUAACUACGUGCCAGCAGCCGCGGUAAUACGUAGGUGGCAAGCGUUAUCAGGAUUUACUGGGUGUAAAGGGCGUGUUGGCGGGACUGCAAGUCAGCUGUGAAAACCACGGGCUCAACCUGUGGCCUGCAUUUGAUACUGUAGUUCUUGAGUACUGGAGAGGCAGACGGAAUGCCUGGUGUAGCGGUGAAAUGCGGAGAGAUUAGGAGGAACACCAGUGGCGAAGGCGGUCUGCUGGACAGCAACUGACGCUGAGGCGCGAAAGCGUGGGGAGCAAACAGGAUUAGAUACCCUAGUAGUC
This 443-nucleotide ribosomal RNA is filed under the name uncultured bacterium. Its description in RNAcentral is "partial 16S ribosomal RNA". It matches the Rfam family "Bacterial small subunit ribosomal RNA", at positions 338 to 795 of the family's 1533-position model. The record is from RNAcentral.